Molecule: long non-coding RNA, 2057 nt
Organism: Octopus sinensis (East Asian common octopus)
Lineage: Eukaryota; Metazoa; Mollusca; Cephalopoda; Octopoda; Octopodidae
Exons: 2
Source: RefSeq, a predicted model, not a curated record
GUGAAGGCACAUAGCUCAGUAGUUAGAUUGUCACGCUUACAAUUGUGAGAUUGUGAGUUCAAUUCCUGGACUGGGUUGUGUAUUGUGUACUUGAGCAAGACGCUUUAUUUUCACGUUUGCUCCAGUUCACUCAGCUGUAGAAAUGAGUUGUGAUGUCACUGGUGCCAAGCUGUAUCGGCCCCUUUGCCUUUCCCCUUGGACAAUAUCAGUGGCUUGGAAAGGGGAGACUGGUAUGCAUGGGUGAUUGCUAGUCUUCCACGAACAACCUUGCCUGGACUUGUACUUCAGAGGAGGAACUUUCUAGGUGCAAUCCCACGGUCAUUCGUCACUGACGAGGGUCUGUACCAUACACACACACACACACACACCACACAUGCACACAUACACACACAUGCACACAUACACACACAUACACACAAAGAAACUUAAAUUUUGAUUGGGCCAAUGUCAAAUGGAAUAUUUUUUUUAACUCAUAAUAUAUAUUUUUUAGAAUAUUUUUUGCAGGUCGUGUAUGUGUAUAUAAACAUAUACUGUGAAGUAUUUAUGUAUGUAUAAUAUAGGUGCAGCUAUGACUGUGUGGUUUCAAACCUUACGAAUUCAGGUUCCAUUCCACUUCAAGGCACCAACCCCAACACCUUAUGCAAAUGUCUUCUAAAUUGGGCCAACCAAUGGUUUAUGGACGAAAUUUAGUAAACAGAAACUGUAUGGAAGCCUGCUGCAUAUAUAUAUAUGUGUGUAAUUGUAAGCAUGUCAGACAAAAAGCUCAGUGGCAUUCCUUUAUGUUAUGAGUUGAAAUCCUGUUAAGGUCAACUUUGCCUUUCAUCCCUUCAAGGUCUAUAAAGUGCUACUGAAGUAUUGAGGGGUCACUGUAAUUGACCUGUCCUCCUGCCCAAUCAAACUUUCUGGCCUUGAACCCUGCAAUAAAUGGUGUUCCAUUCAAGAGAACCAUACUAUUGAGAUCUUGGUCACUUAUACGCCAUGGAAACCAAGUUGCUGCCCUGAUGUGUCUUAGGGCUCAAGGAGAAAAAAAAUGGCAGGUUAGUGCAUGUGCACACACAAGUUUGUCUUUUUUUUUAAAUGUUUGAUAACUUGUAAGCAAUGGUAUAUUUUACAUUUACCUUAAGCAGUACAUUGGGUAGCGGCUUCGUGAUUUUAUGAAGACUUGUGGAAUAAUAAUACUUAACUUUAAAAAAGACAAGAGUUGGCAGCAAAAAGAGAACUCAGCCGUAAAAUAGCACCUCAAGAAACAUGGAAAAGGAAAAAAAAAUGUUCAUAUAUAAACAGGCAUAUGUAGGAAUACAUAUACCAUAUUUACUGGCGUAAAGGACACAUGAGAUACACCCCCAUUAUCAGCAGUACAUAUUCAGGAAAAAUGUUUUUAGAGUAUCAGAGCAUGUGAUGUAAGCCUAACUUUGCGUAUAGAACCAGGGUAACUUGUUUUUUUUUUUGGUUUUUGAUACAUUUUAUUUUUGGGAUAGUGUGUCAUUAUGUUCAUGCUAGUAUGGGUCUAGACAGUUGUUUGAGGCAAGAUUUCACGACUGGAUGCUCUUGCUGUUACCGACUCUUGUUUGUUUCUCAAGCAAGGAAUAUUUUCUUUAUUCCACAAGACUUCGAAAGCACAGAACGACACCAUGGAAUAUAAAUACAUAUGCGCAGGCACACAUAAAGAUAUCUACAGCAGGAUUCCUGUAGCUGGACCAAACCUGAAACCAUGUCGUUGCACAGUAAACUUUUUCAACCACACAGCCAUGCUAAUACCUAUGUGUGUGUAUAUAUAUAUAUAUAUAUACACACACACACACAUACAUAAACUGUCAGACACAUGCAAGCAUGGAAAAGUAGACGUUAAAAGGAGGAUGAUAUAUAUAUAUACACAUACGGAAAUGUAUGUGUAAGAUGUUCUUACACGGGCACAAACGUAUGAAUAUUGGCUGAUGUACAUGGGGUAAAUAAUUUUUUUUUGUUUUUAUGGCGUUGUGGGUGGCAGUUGUUUCUAGAAGAUAUACUGAUGUCUAUUUUACCAAAAUGAAUCUGUAAAUAAAAAAUCCUACCUUUUU